UCUUGCCUGAUGACACCUGGGAUUGGCUCCAGCACUCCCAUGACCCUUGUAAGGAUAAGGUGCUCAGAAAAUGGAUGGAAACAUGGUAACCAAGUGACUCAAAGCUACUUGUCCUGUUCUACUUUGACUGUGGAUCUCAUAAUGGGAUUAGCUAUUCUAAGUAGUGAACAGAGAGCGAGUCCAAACUCAAACCAUACAUUGUAAAAUAGCUCAGGUAGCACUAAGGAAUUACAUCCACCUGAGUAGCCAAAUUGGGGUCUAAUAGAUGGAGCCAGUCCAUUGUGUCAUGGACCCCCGGCCGAAUAUGGAUGCUAAAGGUUUUCAGGGGUCUGUCCAUGACAGUGAUUCAGAAAACAGUCAGGAGACACAAACGUCUAACUGGGACGAGCUGUCCAUCAUAGAUCGAGUGGGCCUCAGCAGUGUGGAGAUGUCAGAGAUUGAUUUGGAAAAGACCUUCUCUCAGAUUGCCUUGGCCUUCUGCUGUGACCAAUACACCUUGAAGCAAAGGCUCCAGGCAGAAGAGCACGGCCGCAACCUGGCAGAGGAGAAUAUCCAGCUCGAGCUUUCUAGAAGCAGAGAAACGCUUGAGACACUAAAGGGCCUAUGUCUGGAUAGCAAGCGCAGUAAAAUCCUGCAGAGGCUUGAGUUGUCUCUGGACAUCAUCACUGGUACUGUGGAGCGCAUCUCCAACAGAGCUGAGGUUCUUGGAGCGGUGCACCAGGAGGCUCGUGUGAGUCGGGCAGUGGAGCUGAUGGUGGCUCACGUGGAGAAUGUGAAGAGGCGACUGGAACGACAUGAGGCAGACCUGGAGGAGGCCAAAAAGAUGAUCCAGCAGCAAAACUCCUGCAGGACUAUUGAUGAGCCUGGAGUUCCUUUCGGUCCAUCAUCAUUCGUCUCAAAAAAUUUGUUUUGUUUUCCAAUACUGUAUAUGACUUGACCUAAUUUGUUUCACGCUAAGUUCCAGAUGAAAGUGACAGCUGGAAGAAAAGCUUUCAACAGAAUGGAUGUCGACGCAGAGUCAGUGUGUCGUUGAUUCCAACCGACAUCCAGCCUCUCCAGAAGACAAAGCGAGAGAUUAAGAAGCGGGCUGGCCAUGUGGAAACUGAGCCAGGCAGUAAUGUGUUCCCAGCUUGUCCAUCUCCCACUUUGAGUUCAGUGUCCAGUUGCAGCGGCACCAACAAGGAUGACAGCGACUUGGUGGAUGACAGGUGCUGCCUGGUCCUGCAUCCACACCUUCAUUUCUUCCUCUACCUCUAACUUCUUUUAUUCAUCUUCCAGGCCAAUUGAUCCCGAUGAAGUGUCUGCCCCUGUGCUUCACUCAGAGCCCCCUCUCCAUCCUCCUCCCAUCCCAGAGCCGCCUGUCCCAUGCAAACGAGCUACUGGUGAAAAGAUGUCACACAAAAGUGGCACGCGGGACACAACGUGGCACAGGCACAAAAGCAAAAUUUCAUUGGCAAAGAAAAAGGCUGACAAAGAGAAGAAGAGGACAAAUGUCUACUGCCGGAUUUCCAAGUAGGUUUUUAAUUUCUGUUGACAAAUGAAAUCCUAAUAAAACAAUUAAAUGAUGAUUGUUGUUUUCAGAAAUGGAUCGCUGUGCAGGCAGCGGCCUUUCAUUUGUCGCUGGUUGUUCCUCUGUGUCUUGGUGCUUCUCUCCUUCAUUAUGUGGAUUUUUCUCUUUGUGUAAGAAUAUUAAAGACAUACUAUGGUAAAUAUACUUUGCAAAUUCUAUAAAUGCUGUAGAUGUAUAAAAACAAUUGGAUUUUUGAGUGCCUGCCCACUCAUCAUCACAUGUGAAUUAAACUGAAUAGUACAUUUUUGUUAGCUGCCAAAGGUGCUGAAUUCUAAUGUGUGAAGUGCGGACUGUGUGAGAAAUGUCCAAAUUAUUCUUUUACAGAAUAUUUUGGGAGGCUAUGGCUCCGAUGGAAUUAGCAGUGGAUCAUUUGUAUCAGAACUACACUCACCCCUAAAAUGAGUGGAUAUUGAAUAAAUUCUUUAUCCUUUGUCUACUUUGACCAAAAAAAUGUCACAGAACUUUCAUUAUGUUGGAAUUCUUUUGAAUUGUGAAAAAAAUGCAGUGUCUGUUUCUUCCAAUUAUUUUCAUGAAGUCUUGGGAUGAAAAUGAAAAAAAAAUCCACAAAGUUAUUUUGGACAUUCUUUACUAUAAAUAUAGAGAAAAAAAAGAAUACCUGGUUUGUAACAAAAUUUUGCAACAACAGUCCAAAACACCUUUAAAGGUCAAGUGUCGUCAAACGGAUGAUUUUUGGUUUAUUAUUAAUGAAAAACCCAUAGCCAAUAUGGUCCCAUGUUUUUUUUCCACCACAAAACAGCUUUUUGUAACUCCCGCCAUGAAAAUCCUCUGUCGGGAUUUGUUUUCGAGAAGAAGCUGGAGGUGACGUAAAGGACAGCGGCGCCCCCUCGUGGACUCGUUUGUUUCCAUUAGUUUUACCUCCGGGAAGGUAGCGCGUUGUUCCUUCGUGUUAGCCAAAAUGCCGGCUCAUUGCGUUGCUGGACAUUGCUUGAAUACUCGGGAGAAUGGAAUUACCCUUCAUAAGUUUGAAAGAGACCCUGUUCGUUGUGAAAAAUGGAUUGCACGGGUUAAGAGGACGAGCGCUUCAUGGGUUCCAAAUAACAGGUAGGUGUGUAUACAGCUACGAAAAUAAUAGUUUGGGGUGGACCACGUAAUCGGUCUCGCUCAUAACAUAGCAAAAGAUCCGCGUAUGAAUUGUGUUGAUGUGCGCAUACAGCUACUUAAAAAAAAUAAUAGUUUGGGGCGGACCAUGUAAUCGGUCUCUCAUAACAAAAGAUGCGCGAAUGAAAUGUGUCGAUGUGCGUGUCGCCCAGCCAACAAUGUUUCGAUAGUGUUCAUUGCGUACUGCGGCGACUUUGAACAUACCCCUAAAAGCAACAUACCUCGGCUCCACCUCCUCCUUAUAUGCCACCAUGGGCGCUGAAACUCAGCCACACCGGCUGAGGCGGCGCGUUCGGCGGUCACAGGUUCUGCGAAGGCUGCGCGUCGGGCUUUGCGACAGGGGCGGCUCUGAACAACCCAGCCGAGAAUGCAGUUCAGUUGCGUGUGCGCAUAAAGCGCCCCACCUCGACUGCGAGCACUUCCCUAAAGCACCCCCACUCGGCUCGUCAUAAGCCACACCGGCUGGCUGCGAUGAGCCGCGAUGGUUCAUCUCUGCCGCAGGAGUGGAUCGGACGGGAUACGGUUUGGCCGAGAUUGGAUAUCAUCUGAAUAUGGCCCUGAGGGCUCGUAACAAUACUGUAAUAUUGCCCCGGUAGCUUCACUCGGUUGUGUGGUGUUGUACUUUUCAAAAAGAGCUUCGGUGUCAAAAGGGGCGUCGGAAAAAUGCGAAUAUCUCUGUUGUUCGGCUUCCAGAGUAGCAGGUAUUGCGCGUUUUCAACGGCGGAAGUGACGAUGAGGUCAAGGACAGAGGAUGUGGCUAAUAUGGUGACCACUUGGAUGUCGAGGGACACUCAAUUGCGCAAAUUUGUAUGUUUUUUUGUAGAAUGUAAUCUUCUUUUUGACCCCCCUGGCAAAUUGUCUUCUGCGUUGAAUUGUAUUGUUCUGUUUAAUGUUCAAUAAAGAAAAAAAAAAAAAAUUGCGCAAAUUUGUGCUCUCCGCUCAGAUUUUUUUUUUGUAUAGACAUUGAAGUGAAUACUGUUAUAUGUAUUUUUCAUUACAAUAUCUAUUUUAGAAUGUUUAUAGGAAUGUCAGUCCCACUUUAAAAGGCAUCAGUAAGGAAUAAUUUAUCUUUCAAUGCAACAUACUCCAUGUUAAAUUUCAACAUUUUUCACGCAAGCAAUGCGUUUACAUUAAACCUUAAGAGUCUAUGUUACGAGCAAUAACCUUCAAAUACUUGAUGAAUAAAUUAUAUUAGGAAUCCAAUGGAAAUGUUUAUGUGCAAAAUAGUUCUACAUAAAAUAUUGACCACCAAGUUGUUAAAGCAUCUACUAGAAAAACAUCCAUUCAUCUACAGUGCCGUGAAAAAUGAUUUGAAUUUUUUUAUUUGGAAAUCUCUCACACAACGGUUUCCAAUGAUCAAACCAAUUUUAAUAUCACUCAGACAACCCAAUGAAAUAUAAAAUGCAGCUUUCAAAUGACAAUUGAAUUAAUAAAGAAAGAAAAAAAAUCCAAACCUUUCUGACCCUCUGUGCAAAUGUAAUCACAAAGUCACUGUAAUUAACCACAAAUCUGGGAAAGGUUAAGCCUGGAAACUGUUAUGAAGCCAUUUCCAAGGCUUUGGGGCUCCAGCGAACCACUGUCAGAGCCAUUGUCCACAAAUGAAGACAAUUGGGAAAAGUGGGAAACCUUCCCAGUAGUGGACGACCAAAUAAAAUCACACCAAGAUUGCAACAGUGACUCAGCCAGGAUGUCUCAAAAGAACCUUGAAAAACAAUGAAUUAUGAUGUGUACCAGAAAAUCCUAAAGGAGAAUGUCUGGACAUCAGUUCCUUCCCUCAAACUCAAGUGCUCUUGGAUCAUGCAGCAGGACAAUGAUCUGAAACACAGCAGCAAGUCCACCUCUAAAUGGGUUUAAAAAAAAAAUAGGUUUUGGAGUGGCCAAGUUAAAGUCCAGAUUUAAAUCCAAUUGAGAUGCUGUGGGGUGACAUUAAAUGCGCAGUUAAUGCCAGAAAUUGCUCCAGAGCGAUCUGAAUGACCCAUUAUUGCAAAUGAUUGAUUUCAGUUAUUGCAACCAAGGGUGUUAUGGGAUUCAUUAUCACAGAGUGUCACAAAGAUUUUGGAUUUUUUUGUGGUGCCUUAAUAAAUUGAAUUGUCAUUUGAAAACUGCACUUUGUAUUUCCUUGGGUUGUUUCUGAGCGAUAUGGGAAAAAAACAUCUGUGGUGGGGGAUAUAAUUUUUCACGGCACUGUAUUUUCUGUACAGCUUCUCAUUGGGAUUGUAGGUUUCCUGGAGACUAUCUGAGUUGUCUUUGGGCAAGAGGAAGGGCAAACACUGAACUGGUCACUGAACAAUCACAGGGCACAUAGAAGCAACCAUUCACACUCACAUUUACUCAUAUGGCAAAUUUAGAGUUUUCAACUAUCCCAUCAUGCAUGUUUUUUUAGAAUGUGG
This is an RNA transcript of Syngnathoides biaculeatus (alligator pipefish), 5079 nucleotides long. It is a transcript of the gene named inositol 1,4,5-triphosphate receptor associated 2, with no coding region annotated. The transcript has 10 exons. The record is from RefSeq and is a predicted model, not a curated record. Lineage: Eukaryota; Metazoa; Chordata; Actinopteri; Syngnathiformes; Syngnathidae.